This 833-nucleotide unclassified non-coding RNA is filed under the name Hevea brasiliensis (rubber tree). Lineage: Eukaryota; Viridiplantae; Streptophyta; Magnoliopsida; Malpighiales; Euphorbiaceae. The record is from RNAcentral.
AAGAAGGGAAGAGAGAGAGAGAGAAUGCUUGCUAAUUUGACAUUUUUACAGUUUCAUAGAAAGCCUUGUACGGUAUGCCAUGCAUUGCUCAUUCCCAGAAAGCCCUGUACAGGGCUCCAUAUGUGAUUCUUUUCACUUGCUGGGAACCUCCCAACAAAGAAAGUACCAAAACCAGUAAAGUCAGGAUAAUAAAAAGUAUAGAAAUCAGUUUGUGAUUGCCUAUCCUAGCUGAGAAAAAACCAAGCACGCUUUUUGGUAACUCCUCAGAGCUUGGUAAUUUAGUUUCCUCGACAGAAUACUUAUCAAUGUUGCUUUCAGAUGCCUCUGCAUUGGACAUGCCGCACCGUUUCCUGUGUAACUUGAUUCUUCGGUUGGCUGUUCCUUGGAAAGGAAUCGACUGUAAAGGAAGUGCUUGCGAAGCAAUUAAUUCUACCGGCUGUUGAGCUUCUGUCUGAGCCUCACUCUUACUGGUAAUCAUUGGGAACUCUGGAGUAACAGAAAAUGAAGUUUCAUUUCGUUGGAAAGGAAUCGCCUGUAAAUGAAGUGCUUGCGAAACAAUUAAUUCCCCAGGCUGUUGAGCUUCUGUCUGAGCCUCAGGCUUUCUGGCAAUCACUGGAAACGCCGGAGUGGCAGACAAUGAAGUUUCAUCCAGUUUAACUAUAUCAUCUUUCAGUAUAUCAGCAUAAAAAUCAUCUUGAUUAUCAGAAUCCUCCUGCUGUUGGCUAGAAGAUUCUGCCAAAGGAGCCUCAUUUGAUAAUUUCUGCUCAGAUUCAGAUGCAGAAUCCAAUUGCUCAAUAGAAUGAGAGUCGUAACUGCUACUACACUUUCUUGAG